UUGGCAUUUCGUUUACGUGACAUCCGAAGACGUCUUGCAUUAGUUUGAACCACUUGGGUUGUUUUCACACUCGUUAAACAAGCGGAAGAAAAUAUUGGGUUUAAAGUGGGGCCACUAAGUUCCCACUGAAUUGAGUUUCUCGGGACGGAAAACGAGCCAGCUGACGAAUCAGCCAACCCGAAUUCGGUUUAGGUGUGGUAAUGAUCCUUCCGCAGGUUCACCUACGGAAA
This 230-nucleotide unclassified non-coding RNA is filed under the name uncultured fungus. RNAcentral describes it as "sequence contains ITS1". The record is from RNAcentral. Lineage: Eukaryota; Fungi.